CUCAUCAACAGUAAGUUAUUAUUUUAGAGGUCUUGUCCUUUUUUUUUAUUAAAAAAAAACCCCCGGAGUGGCUAUUUUUCUGGCUAGCCGGACGAAUAGUGCCAGGGCUAUUUUUCCGGCCAUUGUAAUACGCAUGUCAUAUAAUGUGCGUUUGGAAGUGCGUGUAAUAUAAGCUCCAGUAGCAACAAGGGGGCGCGUGUAAUAUGAUCACUGAUUUUCAAUUUAUAAUCAUGGCUGAAGACGGUGAUAUCAAUAUUUGUGAUACAUUUUGCAGUUUGUGGAAUUUGACAAUGGAACAUGAUAUUAUGAACUUCCAAGACUGAUAUAAUCUUAUAAAAGGGACUCAAAAAAGGAAACAAGGAACAUGGGAAAUAAAAGAUAAUUGAUCGGAGAACUAGUUUUACAAAAUUAUUCGACUCGCUACAGCUGUGUAAAUGGUGGAAAAGAUGUUCAAAGCAAGAGUAGUUGAGAAAGGCCUUUACAAGGGGGGAUUGAGGCUACAAACUUUAACUUGAAGUGGGGAUGUUGGAAAUAGAAACAAAGAUGGGAUCAGGAGUAAAAAAGAAAAGAGAAAUUUGGGAAAAGAAGCACACCGUGUCACCCCG
This 605-nucleotide long non-coding RNA is filed under the name Mytilus galloprovincialis (Mediterranean mussel). Lineage: Eukaryota; Metazoa; Mollusca; Bivalvia; Mytilida; Mytilidae. The record is from RNAcentral.